GGCUCAGGAUGAACGCUGGCGGCGUGCUUAACACAUGCAAGUCGAACGAUGAAGCCGGGAGCUUGCUCCUGGUGGAUUAGUGGCGAACGGGUGAGUAACACGUGAGUAACCUGCCCCAGACUCUGGGAUAAGCACUGGAAACGGUGUCUAAUACCGGAUACGAGCUUCAGCCGCAUGGCUAGGAGCUGGAAAGAAUUUCGGUCUGGGAUGGACUCGCGGCCUAUCAGGUAGUUGGUGAGGUAACGGCUCACCAAGCCGACGACGGGUAGCCGGCCUGAGAGGGUGACCGGCCACACUGGGACUGAGACACGGCCCAGACUCCUACGGGAGGCAGCAGUGGGGAAUAUUGCACAAUGGGCGCAAGCCUGAUGCAGCAACGCCGCGUGAGGGACGACGGCCUUCGGGUUGUAAACCUCUUUUAGUAGGGAAGAAGCGAAAGUGACGGUACCUGCAGAAAAAGCACCGGCUAACUACGUGCCAGCAGCCGCGGUAAUACGUAGGGUGCAAGCGUUAUCCGGAAUUAUUGGGCGUAAAGAGCUCGUAGGCGGUUUGUCGCGUCUGCUGUGAAAACUGGGGGCUCAACCCCCAGCCUGCAGUGGGUACGGGCAGACUAGAGUGCGGUAGGGGAGAUUGGAAUUCCUGGUGUAGCGGUGGAAUGCGCAGAUAUCAGGAGGAACACCGAUGGCGAAGGCAGAUCUCUGGGCCGUAACUGACGCUGAGGAGCGAAAGCAUGGGGAGCGAACAGGAUUAGAUACCCUGGUAGUCCAUGCCGUAAACGUUGGGAACUAGAUGUAGGGUCCAUUCCACGGAUUCUGUGUCGCAGCUAACGCAUUAA
Molecule: ribosomal RNA, 835 nt
Filed under: Salinibacterium sp.
Lineage: Bacteria; Bacillati; Actinomycetota; Actinomycetes; Micrococcales; Microbacteriaceae
Description: bacterial SSU rRNA
Rfam family: Bacterial small subunit ribosomal RNA
Source: RNAcentral